AAGACUCUACUUUCAGGGAUCAUUUCUUUAGUUUGGAACUAGAGGAUUGUGUUUCUACAGAGCUUGGUCUUGCUGUCCAUGAUGAUGAAUGAAGAUGUUUCCUUCAGAGCAGGAAGCUGGUGAGAAGACGAGAAUCUUCUUCACUGAUGAAGACUGUUCAGUGUUUCUGGAUGUGA
This 176-nucleotide small nucleolar RNA is filed under the name Oryzias sinensis (Chinese medaka). RNAcentral describes it as "Small nucleolar RNA U3 (ENSOSIG00000005146.1)". It matches the Rfam family "Small nucleolar RNA U3", at positions 1 to 186 of the family's 219-position model. Rfam says of the family: Small nucleolar RNAs (snoRNAs) are involved in the processing and modification of rRNA in the nucleolus. Lineage: Eukaryota; Metazoa; Chordata; Actinopteri; Beloniformes; Adrianichthyidae. The record is from Rfam by way of RNAcentral.